Molecule: ribosomal RNA, 617 nt
Filed under: Dermabacteraceae bacterium
Lineage: Bacteria; Bacillati; Actinomycetota; Actinomycetes; Micrococcales; Dermabacteraceae
Description: bacterial SSU rRNA
Rfam family: Bacterial small subunit ribosomal RNA
Source: RNAcentral
CGGAUAUGAGCUCCUGUCGCAUGGCGGGUGUUGGAAAGUUUUUCGGUGAAGGAUGGGCUCGCGGCCUAUCAGUUUGUUGGUGAGGUAGUGGCUCACCAAGGCGAUGACGGGUAGCCGGCCUGAGAGGGCGACCGGCCACACUGGGACUGAGACACGGCCCAGACUCCUACGGGAGGCAGCAGUGGGGAAUAUUGCACAAUGGGCGAAAGCCUGAUGCAGCGACGCCGCGUGAGGGAUGACGGCCUUCGGGUUGUAAACCUCUUUCAGCAGGGAAGAAGCGAAAGUGACGGUACCUGCAGAAGAAGCGCCGGCUAACUACGUGCCAGCAGCCGCGGUAAUACGUAGGGCGCAAGCGUUGUCCGGAAUUAUUGGGCGUAAAGAGCUUGUAGGUGGCUUGUCGCGUCUGCCGUGAAAACCCGAGGCUCAACCUCGGGCGUGCGGUGGGUACGGGCAGGCUAGAGUGUGGUAGGGGAGACUGGAACUCCUGGUGUAGCGGUGAAAUGCGCAGAUAUCAGGAAGAACACCGAUGGCGAAGGCAGGUCUCUGGGCCAUUACUGACACUGAGAAGCGAAAGCAUGGGGAGCGAACAGGAUUAGAUACCCUGGUAGUCCAUGCCG